RNAcentral lists this ribosomal RNA (540 nucleotides) under uncultured bacterium. RNAcentral's name for it is "bacterial SSU rRNA". It matches the Rfam family "Bacterial small subunit ribosomal RNA", at positions 28 to 526 of the family's 1533-position model. The record is from RNAcentral.
GACGAACGCUGGCGGCGUGCCUAAUACAUGCAAGUCGAACGGACCUUGCUUUAACGGAUUGGAGUACUUGUACAAAGAGAAGAUAGAGCGCUGGUUAGUGGCGAACGGGUGAGUAACACGUGGACAACCUGCCUCAAGGCUGGGGAUAACAUUUGGAAACAGAUGCUAAUACCGAAUAAAACUUAGUGUCGCAUGACACAAAGUUAAAAGGCGCUUCGGCGUCACCUAGAGAUGGAUCCGCGGUGCAUUAGUUAGUUGGUGGGGUAAAAGCCUACCAAGACAAUGAUGCAUAGCCGAGUUGAGAGACUGAUCGGCCACAUUGGGACUGAGACACGGCCCAAACUCCUACGGGAGGCUGCAGUAGGGAAUCUUCCACAAUGGGCGAAAGCCUGAUGGAGCAACGCCGCGUGUGUGAUGAAGGCUUUCGGGUCGUAAAGCACUGUUGUAUGGGAAGAACAGCUAGAAUAGGAAAUGAUUUUAGUUUGACGGUACCAUACCAGAAAGGGACGGCUAAAUACGUGCCAGCCGCCGCCGUAAAAC